Long non-coding RNA from Solanum tuberosum (potato), 462 nucleotides. RefSeq lists it as uncharacterized. The transcript has 2 exons. The record is from RefSeq and is a predicted model, not a curated record. NCBI's taxonomy places the organism in Eukaryota, Viridiplantae, Streptophyta, Magnoliopsida, Solanales, Solanaceae.
UUCGUAUGAAUAUUAAUUAAGAAAUCUAGAAUUUUUUGCAUCAACAAUCUAUUAGAUCUCGUAGUUUUCUAUUUUUUUUAAAGGCUUUAGGUUUCAUAUCCCUGUGCUUUAAUUUGUGUUUGUAAUUGUUUUCUACUUUAUACGAAAUUUGAGAUCUAUGUAUUUGGAUGAAAAUAAGGUGUUUAUAUUUGGGUUAGGGCUUGGAUUUGAAGAUAUAUGGGCUUCAUUAUUGCGUCGAAGCUCUUAAUGAAGAAGUUUAAGGAUCUGUAGGAUUUUCUCACAUCACGCAAUGCUGGAACAAGAUUGUAGAACACAAAUAGUAUUGAAGAAGGAUAAGUUUGAAGACCUUCACUGUUUUUUUAUUACAUAUGUACAAUGACAUUGAAUAAUAUACUAUUGUGUAGUACAUUUAAUUGACAUUUUUUUUUAUCAUGAAAGUAUUCGAAUUAUUCAACUUGAGAA